RNAcentral lists this transfer RNA (71 nucleotides) under Jeotgalicoccus marinus. It matches the Rfam family "tRNA". Rfam says of the family: Transfer RNA (tRNA) molecules are approximately 80 nucleotides in length. Their secondary structure includes four short double-helical elements and three loops (D, anti-codon, and T loops). Further hydrogen bonds mediate the characteristic L-shaped molecular structure. tRNAs have two regions of fundamental functional importance: the anti-codon, which is responsible for specific mRNA codon recognition, and the 3' end, to which the tRNAs corresponding amino acid is attached (by aminoacyl-tRNA synthetases). tRNAs cope with the degeneracy of the genetic code in two manners: having more than one tRNA (with a specific anti-codon) for a particular amino acid; and 'wobble' base-pairing, i.e. permitting non-standard base-pairing at the 3rd anti-codon position. The record is from RNAcentral. Lineage: Bacteria; Bacillati; Bacillota; Bacilli; Caryophanales; Staphylococcaceae. RNAcentral also lists the same sequence under 3 other names.
GGCGCCAUAGCCAAGUGGUAAGGCAGAGGACUGCAAAUCCUUUAUCACCGGUUCAAAUCCGGUUGGCGCCU